UCCAGCCUGGCUCUACGGCCCUGUCUCCCCUCUGCCCACCUCUCGGUGCCUGCGAGCCAGACAGUGUGCCGCGCCCAUGCUCCGCACUGCCCCCUGGGGUGUGAGCAAGGUGAUCCUCGACAAGCUGAUCCAGUCUGCCAACAUCCAGCAGCUGAGGGGCAGCAUCCACAACAUGGACUUCCUGGGCAUCUCUCUCACGCCUGGGAGCAGGCAGCUGCGACCCGAGAGGAAGGUGCGGCCGGAGUCCACCUACCUGCUUUCCCGCUGGACCCCCAGGCUCAAGGACGUCA
Molecule: long non-coding RNA, 290 nt
Organism: Terrapene triunguis (Three-toed box turtle)
Lineage: Eukaryota; Metazoa; Chordata; Testudines; Emydidae
Exons: 3
Source: RefSeq, a predicted model, not a curated record